Dermacentor andersoni is the source of this 2507-nucleotide RNA transcript. It is a transcript of the gene named stromal membrane-associated protein 1, with no coding region annotated. NCBI's taxonomy places the organism in Eukaryota, Metazoa, Arthropoda, Arachnida, Ixodida, Ixodidae. The record is from RefSeq and is a predicted model, not a curated record.
UACACUCUACCGUAACCAAGCUGGCGGCGCCCCAACAUCGGGCCGUGAUCGGGCUUCUGAAAGUGACGUCAGGGCCUAUUCAAGCCAGCCGCGCAAGUAGGCUUUCCGUGGUAGAAGUGGUAGUUCCGUAGGUCUGAGAAAUUGGUCUGAGGUGGGUGGUCGUGCUGUGGUCGCAGAGGCAGUCGCUUCGUGAUGGCAAGUAAGUCCGAGCGCGAAAAGCAGAAGCAGAUACAAGACAAGUGCCAGGUCAUUUUGGGCCAGCUUCUUCGCGAAGAGGACAACAAAUACUGCGUCGACUGCGACGCUAAAGGACCGCGAUGGGCCUCGUGGAACCUGGGCAUGUUCCUUUGUAUCCGUUGCGCGGGCAUACACCGGAAUCUUGGCGUCCAUAUAUCACGGGUCAAGUCAGUCAACCUGGACACGUGGACUCCUGAGCAGGUGGCUUGCCUCCAGCAGAUGGGCAACAGCAAGGGAAGAGCAGUGUAUGAAGCUAACCUGCCAGACAACUUUAGACGUCCUCAGACAGACUCGUCCCUGGAGGCCUUCAUCCGCUCAAAGUAUGAGCAGAAAAAGUACAUAGCCAAGGAGUGGGUGCCACCUCCCAUGCCACCUCCUGCUUUUGACAUUGAGCAAGAGCGUCGCAGGGAGAAGGACAAAAAACGACCAAAGCCAAAAGCAUCCACUGGUGAUGUAUCGGCACCUACAGUGAACAAGGUUGUGCUGCCAAGACCCCAGAGUACUGCCACACCUGUCCCCGUUGUCAACGCCUCUCAAAACACAGCUGACUUGCUUGGUCUUGAUAUUGAUUCAUCUGGAAGCGCUGCUUGUGGACCACAGACAGAAGAAGAUCCAUUUGACGAGUUCUUAAGUGCUGCCCCCGUUGCCACCGCUGUUCCGGCAUCGGACCCCUGUGCUGAGGAGAAGGCCUUCUUUGGCCAGACUGCAGAGCGGCGCAACGUACUCACCAAGGAGUCAAUCCUGUCCCUCUACAGCGCCUCACAGCCUCCAGCCUUCGCUGCACCUGCUGCCGGAAUGUCCAUGCAGGCUGUCUACACACCUGGUGGCGGUUACACAACUCCAAGCGUGUUUCUCCAAGGGCUUGCAUCGAUGCCUGGAGGCAGUAUGCAUCUUCCUCAGCAGCACAUGCCAGUGAGCAGCAGCAGGGAGACUGGAGAGGCGCAGCCGUUCCCCAGCAACCCCUUCUUGAGCCCAGUGACACGGCCAGGCAACUUGCCCCAGCAGAUGGCUGGCCUGCAGCUCAAUGCCAGCAAUGCUGCUGCUUGGGGAGGGCACCCAGCUGUGGGACGUGUGCCGUGGUCCAGCAACCCAGCUCAUCAGGGACACACACUGUCCACUAACCUGUGGCAGUGAGGACGUUGCUGCUUCUGGCGAUGAAAGGUUUGAGAUCAUCAACGUUCACUGGACCGCCGCGGCUUGCCCCCCGCUGCCAGUUCACAGAACGCGAUCCAUAGGGUUUGGCGGCUCUCUCCCGAAGUUGAGGAAAGCGGGCAUCACCUGGCGCAGCACGUGGCAGGGCCCUGUGUAUCAUGGAAGGAGCUUUUCGGAAAGUCCGACGUGGCGACCACAGGAGCACGAGUGCACCAGGCGAAAACUGUGUCUGGUAGGGACGAAAAUUGGCUGUGCGGCUCCACUUCAUCAUCUGGACUCUGCACCUGGGCUUCACAUCCUGGAAGAAGUAAAUGAUGCCACAAAGCCUGAAACAUGGAAUGCUAGUAGCAGGAAGCGUUUUGCCCAAUUAAGUUAUUUAUACUUCUUCGAUCAGAGGUGGGAAGAAAGGCUGUGCCACAAUCCUGUACCUAGAUCCCCCCCACCCAAAGUCAUUUUUUGAAGCCAUGCUUUUUUUUAUGAAGGUUUCAGGACCAUGUAAUUGUACAGUGUUGCCUUGCACAAAUUUGAAAGCUCGUGCUGCAAUUUAUUUUUUAAAUGAAAAGAAAGCUGAGCUUGCUGCACUGUUAGUUUAUGUGGAAGGGCAAGGAAACUCUGUAGACUACCCUUCUGUGCUUUACUUUAAACAACAAAAAAACUUACUUGCUUUCUUAUUUUUAGCCCACAUAUGUACCUUUAGUCUCACUGACCUAUUAAUUUCAUUGGUGGAGGUGUUGCGACUAAAUUAGUCUCCUUUCAGUUUCUUUUCCAUUUACUCGGUUUGAUGUUAUUUUGCUAGACAAUGAAUUUUUGCAUAUGCUUAGUUUUUGUUGCAUCCAUCUAUGGUUUUGGCAUAGUUAAGGGAAUAAACAGGUGUAAGCAGCUUUGUUCCAGUGGGCUCAGUCAUAGUUCCUCCUGCUUUCUUAUUUGGGAAUGGUGUGUUUUAGGGCAAACAUUUGAAAAAAAAGCUACUGUAAGAUAGACAACUCACUUUUGAUGAUUGUUUUUUUUUUUUAAUCAGAGGUCCUUUUUAACGAGGCUCGGCAAGUGUUUUGUUAUGAAGCUCUAGCCAUCACUUUUGUAACUGAUUGUUCUGCAUGAAUAAAAAAUGUUGCAAUGUU